GAGAAGGCAAAGGACUGACUGAA
RNAcentral lists this non-coding RNA (23 nucleotides) under Cricetulus griseus (Chinese hamster). Lineage: Eukaryota; Metazoa; Chordata; Mammalia; Rodentia; Cricetidae. The record is from RNAcentral.